RNAcentral lists this ribosomal RNA (548 nucleotides) under Penicillium sp. RNAcentral's name for it is "eukaryotic LSU rRNA". The stretch from base 206 to 359 matches the Rfam family "5.8S ribosomal RNA". Lineage: Eukaryota; Fungi; Ascomycota; Eurotiomycetes; Eurotiales; Aspergillaceae. The record is from RNAcentral.
UUUCCGUAGGUGAACCUGCGGAAGGAUCAUUACUGAGUGAGGGCCCUCUGGGUCCAACCUCCCACCCGUGUUUAUUGUACCUUGUUGCUUCGGUGCGCCCGCCUCACGGCCGCCGGGGGGCUUCUGCCCCCGGGUCCGCGCGCACCGGAGACACCAUUGAACUCUGUCUGAAGAUUGCAGUCUGAGCAUAAACUAAAUAAGUUAAAACUUUCAACAACGGAUCUCUUGGUUCCGGCAUCGAUGAAGAACGCAGCGAAAUGCGAUAACUAAUGUGAAUUGCAGAAUUCAGUGAAUCAUCGAGUCUUUGAACGCACAUUGCGCCCCCUGGUAUUCCGGGGGGCAUGCCUGUCCGAGCGUCAUUGCUGCCCUCAAGCACGGCUUGUGUGUUGGGCUCCGUCCCCCCGGGGACGGGCCCGAAAGGCAGCGGCGGCACCGAGUCCGGUCCUCGAGCGUAUGGGGCUUUGUCACCCGCUCUGUAGGCCCGGCCGGCGCCAGCCGACAACCCAUCAUCCUUUUCAGGUUGACCUCGGAUCAGGUAGGGAUACCCG